GCAUUCGUGGUGUAGUGGUGAGCACGCUCUGCACGUAUUCAAGAGGUCCGUGGUUCGAAUCCCGGUGAGGGCA
This 73-nucleotide transfer RNA is filed under the name Stegodyphus mimosarum. It matches the Rfam family "tRNA". From Rfam's summary of the family: Transfer RNA (tRNA) molecules are approximately 80 nucleotides in length. Their secondary structure includes four short double-helical elements and three loops (D, anti-codon, and T loops). Lineage: Eukaryota; Metazoa; Arthropoda; Arachnida; Araneae; Eresidae. The record is from Rfam by way of RNAcentral.